RNAcentral lists this ribosomal RNA (380 nucleotides) under uncultured eukaryote. RNAcentral describes it as "partial 18S ribosomal RNA". It matches the Rfam family "Eukaryotic small subunit ribosomal RNA", at positions 592 to 976 of the family's 1831-position model. The record is from RNAcentral.
CAAUAGCGUAUAUUAAAGUUGUUGCGGUUAAAAAGCUCGUAGUUGGAUUUCUGUUGGGAACGACCGGUCCGCCCAUUGGGUGUGUAUCUGGCUUGUUCUCGGCAUCUUCUUGGUGAACGUUGCUGCACUUGACUGUGUGGAGCGCUACCCAGGACUUUUACUUUGAGGAAAUUAGAGUGUUUCAAGCAGGCAUAUGCCUUGAAUACAUUAGCAUGGAAUAAUAAGAUAGGACCUCGGUUCUAUUUUGUUGGUUUCUAGAGCUGAGGUAAUGAUUAAUAGGGAUAGUUGGGGGCAUUCGUAUUUAACUGUCAGAGGUGAAAUUCUUGGAUUUAUGGAAGAUGAACUACUGCGAAAGCAUUUACCAAGGAUGUUUUCAUUAA